This 500-nucleotide ribosomal RNA is filed under the name uncultured bacterium. RNAcentral describes it as "partial 16S ribosomal RNA". It matches the Rfam family "Bacterial small subunit ribosomal RNA", at positions 28 to 523 of the family's 1533-position model. The record is from RNAcentral.
GAUGAACGCUAGCGGCAGGCUUAAUACAUGCAAGUCGAGGGGCCGCAGCGGUACCAUUACCCGCUGGCGACCAGCGGCCGGGUGCGUAACGCGUAUGCAACCGACCUUAAACCGGGGGACAGGCUUCCGUACGGGAGAUUCAUACCGCAUAAUACAAUGGAGUCGCAUGACUUAGUUGUCAAAACUGUGGCGGGUAAAGAAGGGCAUGCGUGCCAUUAGCUAGUUGGCGAGGUAACGGCUCACCAAGGCGACGAUGGCUAGGGGAUCUGAGAGGAUGACCCCCCACACUGGUACUGAGACACGGACCAGACUCCUACGGGAGGCAGCAGUAAGGAAUAUUGGACAAUGGGGGCAGCCCUGAUCCAGCCAUGCCGCGUGCAGGAAGACGGUCCUACGGAUUGUAAACUGCUUUUAUCGGGGAAGAACUCCUUUUACGUGUAAGAGGUUGACGGUACCCGAGGAAUAAGGAUCGGCUAACUCCGUGCCAGCAGCCGCGGUAA